This 64-nucleotide transfer RNA is filed under the name Dipodomys ordii (Ord's kangaroo rat). It matches the Rfam family "tRNA". Rfam says of the family: Transfer RNA (tRNA) molecules are approximately 80 nucleotides in length. Their secondary structure includes four short double-helical elements and three loops (D, anti-codon, and T loops). The record is from Rfam by way of RNAcentral. Lineage: Eukaryota; Metazoa; Chordata; Mammalia; Rodentia; Heteromyidae.
GGUGGCUCAGUGGAAGAGUGCUUGCCUAGCAUGCAUGAAGCCCUGGGUUCAAUUCUCAGUACCA